Molecule: long non-coding RNA, 1329 nt
Filed under: Pogona vitticeps (central bearded dragon)
Lineage: Eukaryota; Metazoa; Chordata; Lepidosauria; Squamata; Agamidae
Description: lncRNA (ENSPVIG00000003370.1)
Source: RNAcentral
AUGGAAGAAAGAAAAGAAAAACCAAAUCGAAACAAAAUGAUGGCAGAGGCUUCUUGGAAUCGAGGCUUUUUGGGUUAUAAAUCUGAUAUAUUUUCUCAUGAUAGCAGAAAGGAACAAACUAUUUCCCAUCUGAAACCUGUUAUUUGUACAGAAGAUAAUACAAAAUAUCUGGAUGGUAAGUAUGCACCUAUGCGCGUUGCCACAUCAGUUCGUUGUUGUAAAGAUGAUCAAAAGGUCAGAUUCCCUCAAAGAGGGGGACCUCAUACCCACAGAAUGCUAAAUUUCAUUUGUGAACAGCAGAAUCCAUGCUACAGUUGGACUGCUAGUAAUAUGAGCAUUAAUGAGGUGCUAAGACUCCUGCCAAGGCACCAACGGAAGACGCGCUGGCAUCUUCGACAAGACGAUGAAGCAGCCAUUACCAUCCAGUCUGCCUGGAGAGGGUGGCAAGUCAGAAAGGAAAUGGACAAAAUGGAUAGAGCUGCCACCCAAAUUCAGGCGGCUUUCCGAAGGUAUAUGGCACGGAAGGAACUGCCUCUGGGACUGUGCUGCUAUGGCAGGAAGGACUGGCCAAUACUAAAGAAAAAAAGAGUGGAAAACAAGAGCCCAUCUUGCCCGCUGCUAAAAUGUGUUCAGCAGUUGGGUUUUGCAUCUGGAACACAAACUGAAAGCCAGAGCAUCUUCCUUCCAAAGAACAGACAACCCAUCUGUCCAAGAAACAUCUCAGAAGGCUACCCUCUUUUGCAUCCCAAUGUGUCCUUCUUUGGGAUGAAGUCAGCCAUCAGUUCCAACAGAAAAGUGUUGACAUACGCUUCUUUAAAUGUCUUUGCUCCUAGGAUACAGAAUCAAAAAUAUCAGGAGGCUGCAACCACUAUCCAAGCAGCAUGGAGAGGGUACCAAAUAAGGCAGAAAGGAAGACCAAUGAUACAAGCUGAUACAUCCCUGAAGUCUUCCCCUUCUAACAUUAUCAUCGACAAAACCUCGUGGAGACAUCCACGUUCAGGGUGUACUGUUGAGGAGCAUGGAAUCCAGCAGACCUUUGCGAAGUCUACCUUAACAAAGCUACCACAGAUCCGAAAUAUCAAUAUAUAUACAGUGGUGAAGGGCAUGCCAGCUUCUUCUCAACGGCCAGACAUAUCCAUACAGGUACAGAGCCCCAAAGCUAUGGUCCAAGGAUUUCAGAGGGACGUGAGUAGAGGGGUGAAGGCCCUCUACACAGUUAAAAAUAGAGCUGCUUCGAGACCCUCUCAGAUCCUUAUUCAUGUGAAUACGCUGAAGGGGAAGGACCCACCUGCAAAAACAGAAAAGAAGAUGCAAAAACAUGAACGAUAA